This is a long non-coding RNA of Saccostrea echinata, 807 nucleotides long. RefSeq lists it as uncharacterized. The transcript is spliced from 4 exons. Lineage: Eukaryota; Metazoa; Mollusca; Bivalvia; Ostreida; Ostreidae. The record is from RefSeq and is a predicted model, not a curated record.
AUAUGUUAAGUGUUGGUGGCUUAAAAAUCUGAAGAUGUCAGUGAGAAGGAACACAAAAACCAUGGUGCAUAAGUUAUGUCCAACAAGUCCUUUAAAAUACAGCUAUGGAUUGGAUUCAGCAGCCAGAGUCAUAUGAGCACCAGAUCCCUCUUGCUCCUAUGACAGAGGAUCCUUGACUUGUCUGAAAUGUACUGAAGCAGAUGCUCCAUUUGUCUGGUUAUGCUAUGCAAUGAUUCUGUCCAAAUACUGCAGAGGCACCAAAAGGGUAUUGAACAAAUCUUAUGGGGGAAGUAACAAGGACACAAAGGAUAACUAUCUCCAACUUUGAAGCUGUGCUUAAUUUUAAGUAAAAAAGGAAUUUGGCUCGAUGAAUUGAUUUGGUGCUUAAGGUGUUUCACAUAAUUUAGUUCUGCAUCCUCCUCUCUAUGAAGUAUCUUACCAGACUCUGUAUGCUAGGACAGCAAUUUCCAAGUUUGUGAAAGUCAAGUGUACCUACUCUGCUGCAUUAUUAACAGCUGAAGAUGCAGUCCAUUAUCUGAAAAACUUAUACUUAGAAUACGAGGAAGAUUCUUUACAUCUGAAAACUGACCUUGCCUACUACCACCAGAUUCAAGGUCAACACAUGUGUAACAAGACAUGUUGCAUCUUUUUGGUUGGGACCCUGGUAGGAUAAGGAAUGUACUAAAAAUAUUGCACUGCUAUAAAUUUUUACUACAGUGCCUUUAUUCCAGCACCAAGAGAAAACUAGAAACUUUGACAAACUAUGUUGGUCUCUGUAAUGUUCAGUAAUUGAUAUGACAAUGUAAA